AAAAGAACUUUGAAGAGAGAGUUCAAGAGGACGUGAAAUCACUUGGAUCGAAGCGGAUAGAGUUGACGAAACUGGCGACAUUCAGGUCGUGCGUUGCCGUGCUGCGGGCGGGCGUCUUCAACGGCGUCGUAAGUCCUAUUUUUCGGUGGCGUUGCGUACUGCGCUUGUUGCUGGUAUACGCUGAGGCGGACGAUUGCCCCUUCCGAAGCGAUGUAGCGUGGCCCAUGCUUAUGUGGUGUCCUACUACGCGCCGAGGUUGAUGUGGCGGUUGUCUGUCAGCGCGUUCCCUGCCUCUGCGCUUGGCGUCGUCGUGUGUGCUGUGAGCGGUGUCGGAGGCUUGCCUCCUGGUGUUGCUUGCGGUGCUGCGGUGGCGUCUUGCUGCUCGGGAGCGUUCUCGGUGUCGAAAAGUCGACCACCUAUCCGACCCGUCUUGAAACACGGACCAAGAAGUUUAGUACGUACGCGAGUCAUUGGGUGCAAAACUCAUAUGGCGUAAUGAAAGUGAAGGUCUUCGUUGGUUGACUGAUAUGUGAUCGGUGGCAUUGCCGCCGCGCAACAUAGCCCCAUGCCGAUUGCAUGCAAUGGUGUGGAGGUAGAGCGUACGUACUGAGACCCGAAAGAUGGUGAACUAUGCUUGAGCAGGACGAAGUCAGAGGAAACUCUGAUGGAGGUCCGUAGCGGUUCUGACGUGCAAAUCGAUCGUCGGACUUGAGUAUAGGGGCGAAAGACUAAUCGAACCAUC
Molecule: ribosomal RNA, 742 nt
Filed under: Acrostichus sp. 2 NK-2021
Lineage: Eukaryota; Metazoa; Nematoda; Chromadorea; Rhabditida; Diplogasteridae
Description: partial 28S ribosomal RNA
Rfam family: Eukaryotic large subunit ribosomal RNA
Source: RNAcentral